AAAGGCGCUUUCGGGUGUCGCUGAUGGAUGGACCCGCGGUGCAUUAGCUAGUUGGUGAGGUAACGGCUCACCAAGGCCACGAUGCAUAGCCGACCUGAGAGGGUGAUCGGCCACAUUGGGACUGAGACACGGCCCAAACUCCUACGGGAGGCAGCAGUAGGGAAUCUUCGGCAAUGGACGAAAGUCUGACCGAGCAACGCCGCGUGAGUGAAGAAGGUUUUCGGAUCGUAAAACUCUGUUGUUAGAGAAGAACAAGGAUGAGAGUAACUGUUCAUCCCUUGACGGUAUCUAACCAGAAAGCCACGGCUAACUACGUGCCAGCAGCCGCGGUAAUACGUAGGUGGCAAGCGUUGUCCGGAUUUAUUGGGCGUAAAGCGAGCGCAGGCGGUUUCUUAAGUCUGAUGUGAAAGCCCCCGGCUCAACCGGGGAGGGUCAUUGGAAACUGGGAGACUUGAGUGCAGAAGAGGAGAGUGGAAUUCCAUGUGUAGCGGUGAAAUGCGUAGAUAUAUGGAGGAACACCAGUGGCGAAGGCGGCUCUCUGGUCUGUAACUGACGCUGAGGCUCGAAAGCGUGGGGAGCAAACAGGAUUAGAUACCCUGGUAGUCCACGCCGUAAACGAUGAGUGCUAAGUGUUGGAGGGUUUCCGCCCUUCAGUGCUGCAGCUAACGCAUUAAGCACUCCGCCUGGGGAGUACGACCGCAAGGUUGAAACUCAAAGGAAUUGACGGGGGCCCGCACAAGCGGUGGAGCAUGUGGUUUAAUUCGAAGCAACGCGAAGAACCUUACCAGGUCUUGACAUCCUUUGACCACUCUAGAGAUAGAGCUUCCCCUUCGGGGGCAAAGUGACAGGUGGUGCAUGGUUGUCGUCAGCUCGUGUCGUGAGAUGUUGGGUUAAGUCCCGCAACGAGCGCAACCCUUAUUGUUAGUUGCCAUCAUUCAGUUGGGCACUCUAGCAAGACUGCCGGUGACAAACCGGAGGAAGGUGGGGAUGACGUCAAAUCAUCAUGCCCCUUAUGACCUGGGCUACACACGUGCU
This 1035-nucleotide ribosomal RNA is filed under the name Enterococcus faecium. Its description in RNAcentral is "bacterial SSU rRNA". It matches the Rfam family "Bacterial small subunit ribosomal RNA", at positions 202 to 1226 of the family's 1533-position model. RNAcentral also lists the same sequence under 5 other names. Lineage: Bacteria; Bacillati; Bacillota; Bacilli; Lactobacillales; Enterococcaceae. The record is from RNAcentral.